AACGUAGGAGACAAACGUUAUCCGGAGUUACUGGGCGUAAAGGGCGUGUAAGCGGUUUGUUAAGUCUGGCGUGAAAGCUCUCGGCUAAACCGGGAGAGGUCGUUGGAUACUGGCGAACUAGAGGAUGGUAGAGGCGUGUGGAAUUCCGGGUGUAGUGGUGAAAUGCGUAGAGAUCCGGAGGAACACCAGUGGCGAAGGCGACACGCUGGGCCAUACCUGACGCUAAAGCGCGACAGCAUGGGGAGCAAACGGG
Molecule: ribosomal RNA, 253 nt
Filed under: uncultured bacterium
Lineage: Bacteria
Description: partial 16S ribosomal RNA
Rfam family: Bacterial small subunit ribosomal RNA
Source: RNAcentral